CUAAGAAUCUUGCGCAAUGGGCGAAAGCCUGACGCAGCAAUUCCGCGUGGGGGACGAAGGCCCUCGGGUCGUAAACCCCUUUUGUGAGGGAAGAAGUUCUGACGGUACCUCACGAAUAAGACACGGCUAACUACGUGCCAGCAGCCGCGGUAAUACGUAGGUGUCGAGCGUUGUCCGGAUUUACUGGGUUUAAAGGGUGCGUAGGCGGGCAUGUAAGUCAGUGGUGAAAUACCGGAGCUUAACUUCGGAACUGCCAUUGAUACUAUAUGUCUUGAAUAUUGUGGAGGUAAGCGGAAUAUGUCAUGUAGCGGUGAAAUGCAUAGAUAUGACAUAGAACACCGAUUGCGGAGGCAGCUUGCUACGCAAAUAUUGACGCUGAGGCACGAAAGCGUGGGGAUCAAACA
Molecule: ribosomal RNA, 404 nt
Filed under: uncultured bacterium
Lineage: Bacteria
Description: bacterial SSU rRNA
Rfam family: Bacterial small subunit ribosomal RNA
Source: RNAcentral